This 482-nucleotide ribosomal RNA is filed under the name uncultured bacterium. RNAcentral describes it as "bacterial SSU rRNA". It matches the Rfam family "Bacterial small subunit ribosomal RNA", at positions 28 to 507 of the family's 1533-position model. The record is from RNAcentral.
GAUGAACGCUAGCGGCAGGCUUAACACAUGCAAGUCGAGGGGCAGCACGUCUUCGGGUGGUGGCGACCGGCGCACGGGUGCGUAACGCGUAUAGAACCUACCUUUUACAGGGGAAUAGCCCAGAGAAAUUUGGAUUAAUGCCCCAUAGUAUUAUUGAAUGGCAUCAUUUAAUAAUUAAACAUUUAUGGGUAAAAGAUGGCUAUGCGUUCUAUUAGCUAGUAGGUAAGGUAACGGCUUACCUAGGCAACGAUAGAUAGGGGUCCUGAGAGGGAGAUCCCCCCANACUGGUACUGAGACACGGACCAGACUCCUACGGGAGGCAGCAGUGAGGAAUAUUGGACAAUGGGCGAGAGCCUGAUCCAGCCAUGCCGCGUGCAGGAAGACGGCCCUAUGGGUUGUAAACUGCUUUUUGUACGGGAAGAAACACCCCCUGUCGAGGGGGCUUGACGGUACCGUAAGAAUAAGGAUCGGCUAACUCCGUG